This 1513-nucleotide long non-coding RNA is filed under the name Triticum aestivum (bread wheat). RNAcentral describes it as "long non-coding RNA (TAES_LNC021433)". The record is from RNAcentral. Lineage: Eukaryota; Viridiplantae; Streptophyta; Magnoliopsida; Poales; Poaceae.
UCAGCAUUACCCUUUGGCUAUCAGCAUUAACCUUUGGCUAUCAGCAUUUUUCUACAAAUUAAUCAAUGUUCUAUAUAAUGGUCUUCGUUUCACAGGAAAUGCCAACUUGUGAUAAUGUUCUGCAUAACAUUGAAUCCACUGCAUCUUCUUUUCAGCUUGAAUCCUUUGUAUCCGAAUAAUGUACAGAGAAAUAAAUCACACUUAACAUGGAUCGGUGAUGGUAAAGCUAUGCAAUGGUAGAAAGAAAUAUCACUUCACUCUUCAGUUUCAUCCAUACGGUAAGCGUAGCCAGUUUAUUUCCCUUAUUAUAGACUCAUUUUGGCUUAUAUGCAACGAUCUAAUCACAAAUCUAAAACCUGAGAGGCCUUACUGAUAGAUCGUAAGAAGCUCAAUCGAAACGUGGAAAUUACAAAUAUCAUAGAAAACUGUUUUUGAGCAGAAAAAAAUUCAUACUAAUUUAGAAGAAAACUCAACAUUGUUCAGUUAUGGUCAUAUGUCAAUGUAUAUAAUCAGUAAGUGAGAGUGGCGUUUUGGCUCCUAGGUGCAUAUGCACACAUGAUUUUUUAUCCACAUCUCUUGAAUGGCACUAAACAAAAUAAAUCAUUUUCUCGAAAACUUUGAGACCAAGAGAUGGGACGCUUAAUAAUUAAUAGAUCAGAAAGGAGUUAAAGAAGACUAACCUCAUGUCAUAUAGACGCAUUCUUUGUGCGAGAAAUCAUAUGGAUCAGAAUUAACACCACAUAGCGAGGAAACUCUCUUGAUGAAUAUAAUACUUAUUGUUUAAUAUUAAGGUGUCUUCGACAGUGGCAACAGCUCGGGGUUGGUGAGCUAUGGCAUCGAGCGAAUACAUGACUCUCCCGGCUAUACUUACAUGUUCAGCAGAACUCAGUGUCAAACAAAUAUAUGUUCAGUUUUCAUGUCAUCAAUGCAUACAUGUAAAUUCGAGAAACAAACUUGUGAAUUAAAUUGAUAAAACGAUGGUUAAUAUAAAACAUAGACAACUGCAGUUGUGAGGUAAUCAGGAAAAGAUGCAAGCAGGUCACAUACCAGGCCAGUGACUGUAGACAACCUCCCAGGCUUCUUGGCAUAUCUGUUUUCCUCACAAGAUCCACAUAAUCACUUCACUGAACCAAGAAAUGGUAUCACUUAUUGAUAGUUAAACAUGAUUUCCUGAUCAUCAGCUCACUUGUUAGGUUAAAAAUAUAUAUAAAGACGGUUAUUAGAUCAGCAUGCCUUGUUUCUUGCAAUAUUGGUGGCAGAUGGAGGCUGAUACUUGUGAUGUGCAGUUAAAUGAUUUAAUCAUUUAAGGGAGAUUUGAUUUGAUGCCUCUGACUGACUAUAUCAGGCAAUGGAUACUGAAUAAUCGCAUCAUACUUUGAGAUAGCAGUAAGGUUAAUACUUUAGGUUAUUUACCAAAUUACAUUACUUGCAAAAUAUUUACCUAUCUACAACAGGAAAUCGUAUAUGUAUCAGUAUUGAUGGAGCUAACAUUAAACGGUAUAAUCUACAUGUC